RNAcentral lists this ribosomal RNA (475 nucleotides) under uncultured bacterium. Its description in RNAcentral is "bacterial SSU rRNA". It matches the Rfam family "Bacterial small subunit ribosomal RNA", at positions 328 to 793 of the family's 1533-position model. The record is from RNAcentral.
CUUCCAGACUCCUACGGGAGGCAGCAGUGGGGAAUAUUGCGCAAUGGGCGAAAGCCUGACGCAGCGACGCCGCGUGAGGGAUGAAGGUCUUCGGAUCGUAAACCUCUGUCAGCAGGGAAGAACGGUCACUGUGCUAAUCAGCAGUGAAUUGACGGUACCUGACUAAGAAGCACCGGCUAAAUACGUGCCAGCAGCCGCGGUAAUACGUAUGGUGCAAGCGUUAUCCGGAUUUACUGGGUGUAAAGGGAGCGCAGGCGGCGCGUUAAGCCUGGUGUGAAAGCCCGCGGCCCAACCGCGGGACUGCAUUGGGAACUGGCGCGCUGGAGUGCCGGAGGGGUAGGCGGAAUUCCUAGUGUAGCGGUGAAAUGCGUAGAUAUUAGGAGGAACACCAGUGGCGAAGGCGGCUUACUGGACAGUAACUGACGUUGAGGCUCGAAAGCGUGGGGAGCAAACAGGAUUAGAUACCCUCGUACCG